GCCCAGAUGGCGGAAUUGGUAGACGCGCCAGCUUCAGGUGCUGGUCUACGUAAGUAGGUGGGAGUUCAAGUCUCCCUCUGGGCACCA
This 87-nucleotide transfer RNA is filed under the name Chromatiales bacterium. Its description in RNAcentral is "tRNA-Leu". It matches the Rfam family "tRNA". Rfam says of the family: Transfer RNA (tRNA) molecules are approximately 80 nucleotides in length. The record is from RNAcentral. RNAcentral also lists the same sequence under 1 other name. Lineage: Bacteria; Pseudomonadati; Pseudomonadota; Gammaproteobacteria; Chromatiales.